UUACCUGCGAGAUGAGAGGAUGCCGAUUAGUAUGUGCACUGUUGACGCACUGCUGCCGAACAAAGUCGCCAGUCAAUGUUACAGCGGUUUAAAUAGGUGCUGUAGGUGUCGCUGACGCUUGCGCAUGCGACGUUCCUAGUCAGGUGUAGAGCAGCAGCACCGAGCGAUGUCACCUUCCUGGUGCGGACGGUGAUCGUGCUUCAAAGAUAAUCGUCCCACUGCGAAAUGAGAGGAUGCCGAUUAGUAUGUGCACUGUUGACGCACUGCUG
This is a long non-coding RNA of Rhipicephalus sanguineus (brown dog tick), 269 nucleotides long. RefSeq lists it as uncharacterized. The transcript is spliced from 3 exons. Lineage: Eukaryota; Metazoa; Arthropoda; Arachnida; Ixodida; Ixodidae. The record is from RefSeq and is a predicted model, not a curated record.